Long non-coding RNA from Fopius arisanus, 885 nucleotides. RefSeq lists it as uncharacterized. The transcript has 3 exons. The record is from RefSeq and is a predicted model, not a curated record. Lineage: Eukaryota; Metazoa; Arthropoda; Insecta; Hymenoptera; Braconidae.
AAAAAGUAUCUCAUGGAUCGAAACUUUAGCCGGCCAAAUCGCUCUAGAUGAACUAUACAUAUGUGACAAUACUAUUUGCUUAAUUAUACACCAAGGGAUUUGAGUUUAAACUCAAACACCCAAUUGCAGGGAAUCUGAAAUGUAAACACGCUAAUAUUCAAUGAACGGAAUAUCGGAAUUGUGUCUCGCCGGAUAAUUGCCAUGGAAACAGUUCGAAAUAAUGAUAAAAAAUUAAACCAGAAACAAGUUCUAUCUCGACUGCAAUCAAUUCCUGCACGGAGCACAUGCUAAGAGUGGAUGACACUUGCGUAGUAAUCACGAUAAUGGGAGAAAUCGGCGAUGAGACACCAUCUGAUAUUUUCGUAUCAGCCUCAACUAUCGGUUCGACCGUAGAAUUACUAAAAGCAAAGCAACUCCCUUCUAGGACAUUCCAUUACCCAAACCCAACAUGGUGGAUCAAGACCUUUGAAAAUCUUGUCUCUGAUGCUCUCUACUUCUCCCAUCACUGCGCCUCAUCCUAUCCUAUCUAUCUCACCAUAGAAUGAAUAGUCAAGAGAUUGCAUCCAAAAUAAUUUCAUGAUUCACUCAGCUAUGUCCUGAGGAAAAAUAAAAUCAACGCAAAGAUAUCAGAAACCUUUUUAAUUUGCAAAAUUGCAGGGAAUUCCCGAGAUCAAAAUCAAUUGAUUUUCCAAGUUCUCUUCGACCCCUCAAGAAUUCGUACGCGGUAAUGCCCAAAUUGAUUCAACCAUACUCACAACUUGCUAUGGGGAUGACUUAAAGCGGUAGUGAAAUCCCAAAUUCGGAUUGCUCCAGAACGAUGGAAAUGGAAGUGCGGUCAACAUCAAAGUUGUUAAUGAAUGAAGAAAACCGAGGUGAAAUCCCUUC